RNAcentral lists this small nuclear RNA (23 nucleotides) under Arabidopsis thaliana (thale cress). RNAcentral describes it as "snRNA_14730". Lineage: Eukaryota; Viridiplantae; Streptophyta; Magnoliopsida; Brassicales; Brassicaceae. The record is from RNAcentral.
AAGUUGAGAUUAAUCUUGCUUCA